UGUGCUGCAUGGGUAUCUGUGCUCCGUAGUUACCCUCCUGCUAGUAUGUUUCAAGGACGCUGCCAAAGAAAUUCAAUAUCUAGCAUUGUUGAUUUUCUUGACUUUGUGCCUGUUAAACCCGGUAUUUCUACAGAUGCUGUU
Molecule: small nucleolar RNA, 141 nt
Organism: Apodemus sylvaticus (European woodmouse)
Lineage: Eukaryota; Metazoa; Chordata; Mammalia; Rodentia; Muridae
Product: small nucleolar RNA SNORA8
Exons: 1
Source: RefSeq, a predicted model, not a curated record